AGCAUUCACAUAAUACUAAUCCUGUGGGUUCUCUAAUUUACACCACAAAUUGUGGACCAGAAGUCAAUAUUGAAUCCGAUUCUCCAAUCAGAUUGUAUAUGGACUAGGAUCACUGUGAAGACAGAUGCUUGUGAUGCUGCCCCAAAAGGGGCGCAUCCAUGUAGUCACUUGCGCAGGAUAUGAUUCCGGUGUCAUUGCCGACAUGUAACGUCUGCAGACGGAACAUUCUACAGGAACAAUAAGAACUUCCUUUUCACCAAUUCUGAAGAUGAAUUCCCUUUAGGGAUUGUAAGGCAUCUGAAUUAGGUGAGUUUGAAGUUGAUUUAUGAGUUAUAAUUAUUCUUUAUUCAUUUUUUUUUAAUCUUCUAAAUAUGGGUGAACUAAGCAAGUAGUGGUCUCCUUUGUUAGAAAAGGUGUUAACUUUCAUUUCCGCUAAUAAAAAAUUUAGGUUGUAUGCAAAACCUGCCACACUUUUCCACGAAAUUCCCCACUGAAGGAAUUCCUUUUGGGUUGAUGUUAUAAAGUAACCCGCGAUGUUUUGUCCCUGCAGGUCAUAUGAAGUAGGUGGAAUUGCUGAGGAGACAGUUUGUUGAAAGAGUACUGGUAGAAUCUAACCGUUGAGUAUAAUGUAAGUUCAAACUGAUGUGACAUUAAUACAUUAGAUAGUAGAAUAAAUAAAAAAUUUACUAUCUAAUAUAUGAAUGACACGUAACAGUUGUGACUCAACUAUUAGAAUUUCAAACAUUAUUGUUGUUAAAUACGAGUAUGAAUAAGAUGCUAAAAUUAUUCUAAAAAGAAAAAAAUAAAAUCUAACUAUUGGUUGUAAUAGUUGUCAUAUAUAAGUCGAUCAUUAAUUGUCCAUAGAAAAAUGGUAAAAAUUUAUCUUGAUAAAACUUUGGUAAUUUGUCAUUUUAGUUUAAUAUUCUAAUAUCAGCUUCCCAUUAGCAAAUGUAAAAUGAAGGAAAAGCAUUUUCACUAUUUUCAUCUGACCAGACAAAACCAUCAAACGCAUUUCAUAUAUUAGUUUCAAGACCCCCUGCCAAUACAUUUUCAUUUGCACCAAAAACUAAUCACUCGUAUUUUCUGAACCAGACAAAUUGGAAAACAAUACUAAAUGCCCUCGGAUUGUUUGCUUGCUGUUUAUAACAGUUUUUUAAGACUGGUGAAACGAAAAGAG
This 1177-nucleotide long non-coding RNA is filed under the name Citrus sinensis (sweet orange). Its description in RNAcentral is "long non-coding RNA (CSIN_LNC003859)". Lineage: Eukaryota; Viridiplantae; Streptophyta; Magnoliopsida; Sapindales; Rutaceae. The record is from RNAcentral.